UUGUCCACAGCGGGCACACCCGUCCUCCAGCCGCGCCGCGUGGGGAGAGAGCACUCUGUUGGUAUAGUCCUCUUUUGUUGGCAGAAGAUGUCCUGCUGGGAAAAUACCCCGGGCCUGACGGUACCCGAAGAGAAAGCCCCGGCUAAAUAUGUGCCAGCAGCCGCGGUAAUAUGUAGGGGGCGAGCGUUGUUCUGAAUUAUUGGGGGUAAAGCGCGCGCAGGCGGUUUUUUAAGUCUGAUGUGAAAACCCCCGGCUCAACCCCGGAGAGUCACUUGAAACUGGGGGACUUGAGUGCGGGAGAGGGGAGCGGAAUUUUCCGUGUAGCGGUGAAAUGUGUAGAGAUCUGGAGGAACACCCGUGGGGAAGGCGGCUCUCUGGGCCUCUAACUGACACUGAGGCGCGAAAGCGUGGGGAGCAAACACGAUUAGAUACCCCGGUAGUCCACGCCCUAAACGAUGAGUGAUAGGUGUUAGGGUCUUACACGCCUUCAGUAACGAAGCUAACGCAGUAAGCUCUCCGCCUG
This 523-nucleotide ribosomal RNA is filed under the name uncultured Bacillota bacterium. RNAcentral describes it as "bacterial SSU rRNA". It matches the Rfam family "Bacterial small subunit ribosomal RNA", at positions 364 to 875 of the family's 1533-position model. The record is from RNAcentral. Lineage: Bacteria; Bacillati; Bacillota.